UUGAAACCUGGCGAUGAAGUUCGCCUUAAAUGUCCCCACGGAAGGGAAUGAUAACUUCUACUGGUUA
RNAcentral lists this non-coding RNA (67 nucleotides) under Deltaproteobacteria bacterium. Its description in RNAcentral is "Fluoride sequence". It matches the Rfam family "Fluoride riboswitch aptamer (crcB RNA motif)". Lineage: Bacteria; Pseudomonadati; Myxococcota; Myxococcia. The record is from RNAcentral.